UGGCGGCAGCCUAAGACUGCAAGUCGAACGGUAACGACACUAGCUUGCUAGUGGGCGACGAGCGUUUAAGGGGUGAGUAACGCGUAGGAAUCUACCUAGUACUGUGGGAUAGCCAAGGGAAACUUUGGGUAAUACCGCAUACGAUCUACGGAUGAAAGGGGGCCUCUCUUUGAAGCUCUCGCUAUUAGAUGAGCCUGCGUAAGAUUAGCUUGUUGGUGGGGUAAUGGCCUACCAAGGCGACGAUCUUUAGCUGGUCUGAGAGGAUGAUCAGUCACACUGGAACUGAGACACGGUCCAGACUCCUACGGGAGGCAGCAGUCGGGAAUAUUGGACAAUGGGGGGAACCCUGAUCCAGCCAUGCCGCGUGUGUGAAGAAGGCUCUAGGGUUGUAAAGCACUUUUAGUAAGGAGGAAGGCUCAGUAGUUAAUACCUGCUGGGAUUGACGUUACUUACAGAAAAAGCACCGGCUAAUUUCGUGCCAGCAGCCGCGGUAAUACGAAAGGUGCAAGCGUUAAUCGGAAUUACUGGGCGUAAAGCGCGCGUAGGCGGCUUAGUAAGUUAGAUGUGAAAGCCCCGGGCUCAACCUGGGAACUGCAUCUAAAACUGCUAGGCUAGAGUAUGGUAGAGGAUGGCGGAAUUUCCUGUGUAGCGGUGAAAUGCGUAGAUAUAGGAAGGAACAUCAGUGGCGAAGGCGGCCAUCUGGACCAAUACUGACGCUGAGGUGCGAAAGCGUGGGGAGCAAACAGGAUUAGAUACCCUGGUAGUCCACGCCGUAAACGAUGAGAACUAGCCGUUGGACAUCUUGCAUGUUUAGUGGCGCAGCUAACGCGAUAAGUUCUCCGCCUGGGGAGUACGGCCGCAAGGGUAAAACUCAAAUGAAUUGACGGGGGCCCGCACAAGCGGUGGAGCAUGUGGUUUAUUUCAAGGCACGCGCAAAACCUUACCCACCCCUGACAUCCUGAUCGCGGCUACCGAAAUGGUUUCCUUUCAAUUCGGCUGGAUCAGUGACGGGUGCUGCAUGGCUGUCCGUCGCUCGUGUCGGGAAAUGUUCGUGUAAAUCCGGAACCAGCCCAACCCCAUCCUUAUUGCCGCAUUUCGG
This 1099-nucleotide ribosomal RNA is filed under the name uncultured Gammaproteobacteria bacterium. RNAcentral's name for it is "bacterial SSU rRNA". It matches the Rfam family "Bacterial small subunit ribosomal RNA", at positions 37 to 1131 of the family's 1533-position model. The record is from RNAcentral. Lineage: Bacteria; Pseudomonadati; Pseudomonadota; Gammaproteobacteria.